Long non-coding RNA from Alosa sapidissima (American shad), 273 nucleotides. RefSeq lists it as uncharacterized. The record is from RefSeq and is a predicted model, not a curated record. NCBI's taxonomy places the organism in Eukaryota, Metazoa, Chordata, Actinopteri, Clupeiformes, Clupeidae. The transcript is spliced from 3 exons.
UAAAGCCCAAAGCAUGGGUCAUUCCGUGUCAAAUCACCUAGUGGCUGGCAGGUCACCCUCUCCCAAAAAAUCUGAAAAAAAUCACAGGUGUUUGUAGACCAAACCUAUGCAUAAAUCUUAAAUAGUAUAUCUGUAUCACUAAUGGUUCCAAAACUACAGCCCUUUGAAGUUUCAAGUCAUUUUAAGCAUUGUGGUGAACAAUCCUUUUUGUUCAACUUCCAACAUUAUUGGCUCUUUUGGUAUUGCACACACAUUAGUGAAACUAUGUGAAUA